RNAcentral lists this unclassified non-coding RNA (253 nucleotides) under Hevea brasiliensis (rubber tree). Lineage: Eukaryota; Viridiplantae; Streptophyta; Magnoliopsida; Malpighiales; Euphorbiaceae. The record is from RNAcentral.
GAUUGGAGUGGUGGAUGAGCACACACCUGAGAAUGGUGUUAGUGCUCUUUCAGAAGAAGUGUUGAAACCAGAUGUAAAAGCAGAGGAUAACACUGCUUCUGCUUCAGCCACAUCACAUCUUAAUGACCUAGAGGCGCCUCCAGUAGAAGAACCUGCCAAUGGAAAUAUAUCUCCUCUUUCACAGGAACCACUGGACCUGACAAUUUACAGUUCAGCUGCAGAAUUGGAGGUACUUGGCAUGGAGAGACUCAAG